RNAcentral lists this ribosomal RNA (503 nucleotides) under uncultured bacterium. RNAcentral describes it as "bacterial SSU rRNA". It matches the Rfam family "Bacterial small subunit ribosomal RNA", at positions 8 to 518 of the family's 1533-position model. The record is from RNAcentral.
AGAGUUUGAUCAUGGCUCAGGAUGAACGUUGGCGGUGUGCCUAAUACAUGCAAGUCGAACGGUGAUCUUAUGGGAGCUUGCUUCCAUUUGAUUAUAGUGGCGAACGGGUGAGUAACGCGUUGGUGAUCUGCCUCGAAGUGUGGAAUAACGUUCCGAAAGGGACGCUAAUACCGCAUGUGCUCAAGGUUUUUUAGAAAGCUUUGAGUAAAGGAUUUAUUCGCUUCGAGAGGAGCCUGCGUCCCAUCAGCUAGUUGGUAAGGUAACGGCUUACCAAGGCUAUGACGGGUAGGGGACCUGAGAGGGUGGCCCCCCACAAUGGAACUGAAACACGGUCCAUACACCUACGGGUGGCAGCAGUAGGGAAUAUUAGAAAUGGGCGAAAGCCUGAUCUAGCGACACCGCGUGUGCGAUGAAGGCCUUCGGGUUGUAAAGCACUUUUUGGAAGGAAUAGGAAGGAAGGUACUUCCAGAAUAAGUCUCGGCUAACUACGUGCCAGCCGCAGC